This 158-nucleotide long non-coding RNA is filed under the name Chloebia gouldiae (Gouldian finch). RNAcentral describes it as "Erythrura gouldiae (Gouldian finch) lncRNA (ENSEGOG00005011123.1)". The record is from RNAcentral. Lineage: Eukaryota; Metazoa; Chordata; Aves; Passeriformes; Passeridae.
CUGGGCUGUGCCCUGAUGGUGUACAUUGUCUUCUCCUGACCAGGGAGGGGUGGCAGUGCCACACAGCGCCCUGCGGUCAGAAGAACCUACAGUGAUGCUGGAUGAGAAGAACACAGAAGUUCAGUUUAGAUUUCUAAUUACUAAAAUACGUAUAAAAU